AUGAACGCUGGCGGCGUGCCUCAUACCUGCAAGUCGAGCGGACGGACGAGAAGCUUGCUUCUCUGAUGUUAGCGGCGGACGGGUGAGUAACACGUGGAUAACCUACCUAUAAGACUGGGAUAACUUCGGGAAACCGUAGCUAAUACCGGAUAAUAUUUUGAACCGCAUGGUUCAAAAGUGAAAGACGGUCUUGCUGUCACUUAUAGAUGGAUCCGCGCUGCAUUAGCUAGUUGGUAAGGUAACGGCUUACCAAGGCAACGAUGCAUAGCCGACCUGAGAGGGUGAUCGGCCACACUGGAACUGAGACACGGUCCAGACUCCUACGGGAGGCAGCAGUAGGGAAUCUUCCGCAAUGGGCGAAAGCCUGACGGAGCAACGCCGCGUGAGUGAUGAAGGUCUUCGGAUCGUAAAACUCUGUUAUUAGGGAAGAACAUAUGUGUAAGUAACUGUGCACAUCUUGACGGUACCUAAUCAGAAAGCCACGGCUAACUACGUG
RNAcentral lists this ribosomal RNA (496 nucleotides) under uncultured bacterium. RNAcentral describes it as "partial 16S ribosomal RNA". It matches the Rfam family "Bacterial small subunit ribosomal RNA", at positions 29 to 507 of the family's 1533-position model. The record is from RNAcentral.